This 111-nucleotide small RNA is filed under the name Marmota monax (woodchuck). Lineage: Eukaryota; Metazoa; Chordata; Mammalia; Rodentia; Sciuridae. The record is from RNAcentral.
GUUGGGUAUGGUGGUGCAUGCCUGUAAUCCCAGUUAUUUGGAAGGCUGAGGCAAGAGGAUCUCAAAUUAAAGGCCAGCCAGGGCAGCUUAGUGGUAGAACACUUGCCUUGC